RNAcentral lists this ribosomal RNA (253 nucleotides) under uncultured bacterium. RNAcentral's name for it is "partial 16S ribosomal RNA". It matches the Rfam family "Bacterial small subunit ribosomal RNA", at positions 524 to 776 of the family's 1533-position model. The record is from RNAcentral.
UACGUAGGGGGCAAGCGUUGUCCGGAAUCAUUGGGCGUAAAGAGCGUGUAGGCGGCCCGGUAAGUCCGCUGUGAAAGUCCAGGGCUCAACCCUGGGAUGCCGGUGGAUACUGUCGGGCUCGAGUCCGGAAGAGGAGUGUGGAAUUCCUGGUGUAGCGGUGAAAUGCGUAGAGAUCGGGAGGAACACCAGAGGCGAAAGCGGUUAACUGGGUCUAAACUGACGCUGAGGCGCGAAGGCUAGGGGAGCAAACAGG